UCCAUAUCUUAGAGAAAAAGCUUUCUAAUGCCUUUGUGCAAUUUUUCAGUAGCAAAAGAUAUAUU
Non-coding RNA from Ailuropoda melanoleuca (giant panda), 65 nucleotides. NCBI's taxonomy places the organism in Eukaryota, Metazoa, Chordata, Mammalia, Carnivora, Ursidae. The record is from Rfam.